UGGGGAAUAUUGGACAAUGGGGGAAACCCUGAUCCAGCAAUGCCGCGUGAGUGAAGAAGGCCUUAGGGUUGUAAAGCUCUUUCGCCCGCGAAGAUAAUGACGGUAGCGGGAGAAGAAGCCCCGGCUAACUCCGUGCCAGCAGCCGCGGUAAUACGGAGGGGGCUAGCGUUGUUCGGAAUUACUGGGCGUAAAGCGUACGUAGGCGGAUGCGCAAGUUGGGGGUGAAAUCCCGGGGCUUAACCUCGGAAUUGCCCUCAAAACUGCACGUCUUGAGACCGAGAGAGGUAAGGGGAAUUCCUAGUGUAGAGGUGAAAUUCGUAGAUAUUAGGAAGAACACCAGUGGCGAAGGCGCCUUACUGGCUCGGUACUGACGCUGAGGUACGAAAGCGUGGGGGGCAAACA
RNAcentral lists this ribosomal RNA (402 nucleotides) under uncultured bacterium. RNAcentral's name for it is "bacterial SSU rRNA". It matches the Rfam family "Bacterial small subunit ribosomal RNA", at positions 355 to 774 of the family's 1533-position model. The record is from RNAcentral.